RNAcentral lists this ribosomal RNA (222 nucleotides) under uncultured bacterium. RNAcentral describes it as "partial 16S ribosomal RNA". It matches the Rfam family "Bacterial small subunit ribosomal RNA", at positions 109 to 334 of the family's 1533-position model. The record is from RNAcentral.
AGUAAUGCUUGGGAAUAUGCCUUAUGGUGGGGGACAACAGUUGGAAACGACUGCUAAUACCGCAUAACGUCUACGGACCAAAGGGGGGGAUCUUCGGACCUCUCGCCAUUUGAUUAGCCCAAGUGAGAUUAGCUAGUUGGUGAGGUAAUGGCUCACCAAGGCGACGAUCUCUAGCUGGUUUGAGAGGAUGAUCAGCCACACUGAGACUGAGACACGGCCCAG